Small nuclear RNA from Bufo gargarizans (Asiatic toad), 149 nucleotides. RefSeq annotates it as U1 spliceosomal RNA. The transcript has a single exon. NCBI's taxonomy places the organism in Eukaryota, Metazoa, Chordata, Amphibia, Anura, Bufonidae. The record is from RefSeq and is a predicted model, not a curated record.
AUACCUGGCAGGCUAGAUACCAUGAUCACUAGGGUAGUUCUCCCAGGGUGUGGCUCAUCAAUUUUACUCUGGGUGUGCUGACCCCUGCGAUUUCCUUAAAUGCACAGCACAGCAUAAUUAGUUGUAGUGGGGGACCACAUUCGCUCUUU